This 250-nucleotide ribosomal RNA is filed under the name uncultured prokaryote. RNAcentral describes it as "partial 16S ribosomal RNA". It matches the Rfam family "Bacterial small subunit ribosomal RNA", at positions 524 to 772 of the family's 1533-position model. The record is from RNAcentral.
UACGUAGGGGGCGAGCGUUGUCCGGAAUUACUGGGCGUAAAGGGCGCGCAGGCGGCCGAUCAAGUUAGAUGUGAAAUACCCGGGCUUAACCUGGGAACUGCAUUUAAGACUGGUUGGCUAGGAGUGCAGGAGAGGGAAGCGGAAUUCCUAGUGUAGCGGUGAAAUGCGUAGAUAUUAGGAGGAACACCAGUGGCGAAGGCGGCUUUCUGGACUGUAACUGACGCUGAGGCGCGAAAGCGUGGGGAGCAAA